AAUUAUAACCAGCAUCCAUUCUACAUAGUUAAGCACAUUUCCCACAACCAUACAGGCAACCCUUAAAGGCACAGUCUCUUUAUAUGGUCCAAGUGGCUAUGUUUGCCACACCCCCAAGAACGAGACAAAAGCUCCGUGUUGAGGGUCAAGCAGUGAACAGACAGAGCUGUGGGUUUAUUGUGCUUAUAUACACAUUCUUACACAUUAGUACCACCCACAGGGUUUUGGAACACAACCAAUAAACACAU
Pelobates cultripes (western spadefoot toad) is the source of this 248-nucleotide non-coding RNA. NCBI's taxonomy places the organism in Eukaryota, Metazoa, Chordata, Amphibia, Anura, Pelobatidae. The record is from the annotation of a GenBank genome assembly.